AUUGAACGCUGGCGGCAGGCCUAACACAUGCAAGUCGAACGGUAGCACAGAGAGCUUGCUCUUGGGUGACGAGUGGCGGACGGGUGAGUAAUGUCUGGGAAACUGCCCGAUGGAGGGGGAUAACUACUGGAAACGGUAGCUAAUACCGCAUAACGUCGCAAGACCAAAGUGGGGGCCCUUCGGGCCUCACACCAUCGGAUGUGCCCGGAUGGGGUUAUCUAGUUGGUGAGGUAAGGGCUAACCAAGGCGACGAUCCCUAGCUGUUCUGAGAGGAUGACCAGCCACACUGGAACUGAGACACGGUCCAGACUCCUACGGGAGGCAGCAGUGGGGAAUAUUGCACAAUGGGCGCAAGCCUGAUGCAGCCAUGCCGCGUGUAUGAAGAAGGCCUUCGGGUUGUAAAGUACUUUCAGCGAGGAGGGAGGCAUUGUGGUUAAUAACCGCAGUGAUUGACGUUACUCGCAGAAGAAGCACCGGCUAACUCCGUGCCAGCCGCCGCCGUAA
Molecule: ribosomal RNA, 504 nt
Filed under: uncultured bacterium
Lineage: Bacteria
Description: partial 16S ribosomal RNA
Rfam family: Bacterial small subunit ribosomal RNA
Source: RNAcentral